GACGAACGCUGGCGGCGUGCUUAACACAUGCAAGUCGAGCGAGAAACCUUCGGGUUUCUAGCGGCGGACGGGUGAGUAACACGUGGGUAACCUGCCUCAAAGAGGGGGAUAGCCUUCCGAAAGGAAGAUUAAUACCGCAUAGUAUUACAGUUUCGCAUGAAGCAGUAAUUAAAGGAGUAAUCCGCUUCGAGAUGGACCCGCGGCGCAUUAGCUAGUUGGAGAGGUAACGGCUCACCAAGGCAACGAUGCGUAGCCGACCUGAGAGGGUGAUCGGCCACAUUGGAACUGAGACACGGUCCAGACUCCUACGGGAGGCAGCAGUGGGGAAUAUUGCACAAUGGGCGAAAGCCUGAUGCAGCAGCGCCGCGUGAGUGAUGAAGGUCUUCGGAUUGUAAAGCUCUGUCUUUUGGGACGAUAAUGACGGUACCAAAGGAGGAAGCCACGGCUAACUACGUGCCAGCCGCCGCGGUAA
This 472-nucleotide ribosomal RNA is filed under the name uncultured bacterium. RNAcentral describes it as "partial 16S ribosomal RNA". It matches the Rfam family "Bacterial small subunit ribosomal RNA", at positions 28 to 523 of the family's 1533-position model. The record is from RNAcentral.